Papaver somniferum (opium poppy) is the source of this 3385-nucleotide RNA transcript. It is a transcript of the gene named alkylated DNA repair protein ALKBH8 homolog, with no coding region annotated. The transcript has 6 exons. The record is from RefSeq and is a predicted model, not a curated record. Lineage: Eukaryota; Viridiplantae; Streptophyta; Magnoliopsida; Ranunculales; Papaveraceae.
GCCAAUACAAAACUCCUCCGGCUUUCUCAUCUUGGGCUGUCCCAAAAUGGAAGUACAGAACCAGGAGGAGUGUAAUCGUAUUCUGAAAGAAGUAUUUGGGGAUUCUUCAUCAGAAUUAGUAUCAGAACCAGAAUCAGAAGAAGACGACGAUGAUAUCAAGACCCCUAAUUCUAUUAAUCCUCCAUCUGAAUGGAUCAAAAUCAAAGAAAUUAAGGGUUUAUGGUUAUUCAAAGAUUUUCUCCCUUUACAACAACAAGCUUCACUGCUUUCAGCAAUCAAAAAUGAGGGAUGGUUUUCUGAAGAAAAAGAAGAAGAACCCUCCUCUCAAAAUCAGGCAAUGAGAUUUGGUGAUCUUCCAUCAUGGGCUAUUCAACUUUCUAACUCUAUUCGCGAAACAAUUUGUUUCAAUGGUGAUGGUGAUGGGGAUGAUGUUUUGCCGGCUAAUUUGCUGUGGAGAGAGCCACUCUUUGAUCAACUCAUAGCUAAUGCUUACCAACCAGGUGAGGGAAUAUGUGCUCAUAUAGACUUGAUGAGGUUUGAGGACGGAAUUGCCAUCGUCUCUUUAGAAUCUGAAUGUGUGAUGCACUUCACUCGACUUGAAACGGAAAUGUACGCAUCCGAUUGCAUUGAGAAGGGAGAGGAAAAUGAAGAUCGUCAGCCUUUUGUUACAAAGAUCCCUGUUCUUUUGACACCAGGGUCUCUAAUUGUUAUGAGUGGAGAAGCAAGAUACCAAUGGAAACAUGAAAUUAACCGAAAGCCAGGUUUUCAGUUGUGGGGAGGACAAGAGAUCCGUCAACAAAAGAGAAUUUCCGUCACAUUAAGGAAGCUUUGUGAGACGAAGUAAGCAUAUGUAUGUUGUUUAUCCCUGCUGGUUGUUUCGCUAUCUGCAGUAUGCUUCUUGUUUGUGAUGUAAUUUGUUGGGGGCGAGGACUAAGGCACUACAAAAUCCAGUGUAACAGAUGUAAUCAACACUGUAGUUCCAUAUGUGAAACUGAACUUUGUUUGGGGUCUAAUAGUAUGUAAUCACGCAGGUGAAAGCAAUGGAAUUAGAGCAUGUCCUACAUCGGCACUAAACUGUAAGCAGGAUGAAGCUAAGGCAGUUCUCGAACCGAUGUGUAUACCAAUGAUGCAGAAAUUGAAAAGCAGUCGAGAUUAGUUUCUAAUGGUAGCGGCCAGACAACUGUAGAGAUAUGGCAUUCACAUAUAACAGUUUUUCCAUCAUUAUGGUGUUUCGAUGGAGAAGAGAGUUUUGGCCUUUUGGGUUAUUAAUUUGCAAAAGAGAAAGUCUAGACUGUCCAGGGGAUUUCUCUUGCAGGACCAGCUCUCGAUCAGUCUAGAAUCUCUGUUUGCAAAAUGCUAGACUCAACGUCGGGGUGACCUAGUUGCGGGACUGCCCGCAAUAUCCAACCCACGGUAGGUUUAGCAUUGUUGUUUGGAUUAUUAAUUCUGCCAAUCUUGCUAGACCGACCAGGAGUUGGAUCACUUGGUAUUACGAUAUGGGUGGGACUCAAGCUCACGGUAAAAAUCCCCGCCCUCUGCUAUCUGUAAUUUUCGUAAAUUUGCCGUUAGGAUUUUGUCUGUUGCAGUACACAAGGGGAAUGGGAAAAUAUAAUGAUAUACGCCAGUCAUGGAACAACACAGAACCAACCUUCUUUUCUGGUCAAUUCAAUCAGUGCUAAUUUUCACUGUUUUUUCUCGUAUUUCUCUUAACUCUGAAGUUCAUGCAUGUCUAUAUGGUUGUCUGAUUAAUUAGUUCAUGCAUGACUAUAUGGUUGUCUGAUUAAUUAGUUCAUGUAUGAUUAUAUGGUUGUCUGAUUAGUUAGUUCUCUUGGAAUCCACUGUUUGGCAUUAUCCAUGGUGUUAGUUUAUGCUUUAGGUGAUAAUUGUAAUAUGGAAGGGUUCGCUUUACACCCUUGCUAUUCUUGAUAUUUAGAAGCUUGAUUUUGAUGACAUGCUUGUUAGGUUGUUUGUAGUCUCAGCUUCAGGGGUGAAUGGCCACUUCGUUCUCCCAGGUUCUUUCCAACCUUCGUUUGCUGCAUGUCGACGAUGUUGUUCAACAACAGACGUCACUCUGCCUGCGUGUGCAGGAGAACCAGAGUGCUGACCUUUUACGGAUUGUUUCAGCAUGCUACUGAUGACCACCAGGGACAGUUAUACGACUCUUGUCGUGGAACUCUUGUAUCCAUACUGAAAUCAAUCGCAUUCUUUAAUAGAACAAGGAAGCUAUUCGGGAUGCAGGAGGUAAGUUGAAACUCAAUACAGGGUGGUCUCUCUUAUCUAAACUUUAUGGGAUGGAGAAGAACGUCUUUCGGCGGCUUUUCCAGAGCUCCCUCUUGCAAUAAAUUAGCUUAUUAGGGCGAUGAUCAUCUAUGACUUCUCAAAUAUGACAGCGCAAUAGAUUUCGAAUCAAGAACACAUUUGGUGGCGAUGAUUAUUCCUGUGAGGUCGAUGAUGACAAUGGCAAGUUGACUUCUCGUUGACAGGAAUUCAGGGAAUCAUUUGAACUCAUUGCUCAUGUAAAACCCAAGUCCUUGCACAAUGGCAUUUUCGCGGAGUUCAAAGACGAGGUAGCUAAAGGCUGUGUUGUAAAAGGCGAGCGCCUGGCAAAAAAAGGCGCCCAGGCGCCAAAGUAAGCCUGCAAGGUGAGUUUUCCAAUUUUUCUGCGGCGCCUAGGCGCGCCUCGCCUUGCCUAGCGCCUUUUACAACAUAGGCUACAGGUACGGGUCAUGGUGUUAUCGCUUUAGCCGUGAUGCAUAAGGUGCAAGCAGGCAUUGCAUUCGAUUGUGUAUUUUUCUUGCAAUUAGCAGGAGAGGAGAUAUAGUUGGAAGACAUACAAUGCGCAGAUCCAAUCAUGUAUAGGAGUUGCAAAAAGAUUCUGGAGAUGGAUGCUGACUUUGUUUAUUCAGAUGCUAUGGAGUUAACAUUUGUCAGGGAAAACGGACGUAGGUAAACCAUGGAGUUAUGCUCUGGAGGGAACGACAUUGUUGUCACUAAUAAGAACAAAGAAUAAUAUGUACAUCUUCUUAUUCAGCAUAUCUUCGUCAAAUCAAUCUCCGCAAAGGUUGCCUAAUUAUAGCCAUCUUGAUGGUUUUCAAGUGGUCUGUCCUCCUUGUAAAAAUAGACUGCUCUGGAGCAUCCAGAACGAAAGGUUUGGUUAUAGAAGGAUCUGCAGAAACAAAUGUUAGCUACAGUGUAUUACUGAUUCCUUUAUAAAUGUCAAACACUUGUAAAGACAUUCUCUUUCGUUAACUUUUGUGUGCUUUUCUUCAAGGAUGUUGUAUUUGUACGAGGCAUUGUCAUCUUGAAGUAUAUUACAUGUCUCCUUAAUUUCCAUGUACUUGUAACUAUGUUUAUUUCUUAGUUCAAGGUGAUCGAAAUUUUUGAA